AAAGAGAAAAGAAGAGAAAAGAAAAGAAAAGAAAAGUAAAGACAGAUUAUUAAUAUAAUUGGUCUGGGUGGUUCUGCUUGGUUUUCAUAGUUCAAAACUGAACCUGACCUGAAUAUUCAGGUUACGCCUGUUGUCAAACUGCAACCAACCUGCAAGAAAUUGGAACCUACUACUUUUGGGUGAUAUUGGAGCUGUGUCAUAGGAUUCAAUUAGUAGACUGGGUUUAUGGAUAGCCCUAGUCUUUGAAAGUUGAUCUUUAUACACAUAAGAAUUUUUGUCUAGCAAGUGAACAAUAAUGUAAAGGGCAAGCUAAAUCUUGGUAAGCUAAAAUUGGUGAAGGUUUGAAAAUGAAGUUCAUUACACAGCUUAAAUCUAAUAAAAAACCUGUGUAAGCGUGCCUUCUUGUGCACACACGUAUUACAUGUGAUAGAGAGCCUUUUCCAGAAUUCUAAUGUAAACAAGAGGCUCGUAAGGUUGGUAUUCCUAAUGAAGUGUAAAAUUGGGUUUAGUUACUUGUGGAAAAUGGAAUACUUGAUAUAUUUCCUUAUCUAAAUCUUUGCACAUCAAUAAUUUGUUAGUUGAACUUGUUUCAUAUUUUUUUUAAUUAAAAUGGGCAGUUCAUGGAUCGCUACCGGGGGAA
This 640-nucleotide unclassified non-coding RNA is filed under the name Hevea brasiliensis (rubber tree). The record is from RNAcentral. Lineage: Eukaryota; Viridiplantae; Streptophyta; Magnoliopsida; Malpighiales; Euphorbiaceae.